GAACUGAAGAGUUUGAUCAUGGCUCAGAUUGAACGCUGGCGGCAGGCCUAACACAUGCAAGUCGAGCGGUAGAGAGAAGCUUGCUUCUCUUGAGAGCGGCGGACGGGUGAGUAAUGCCUAGGAAUCUGCCUGGUAGUGGGGGAUAACGUUCGGAAACGGACGCUAAUACCGCAUACGUCCUACGGGAGAAAGCAGGGGACCUUCGGGCCUUGCGCUAUCAGAUGAGCCUAGGUCGGAUUAGCUAGUUGGUGAGGUAAUGGCUCACCAAGGCGACGAUCCGUAGCUGGUCUGAGAGGAUGAUCAGUCACACUGGAACUGAGACACGGUCCAGACUCCUACGGGAGGCAGCAGUGGGGAAUAUUGGACAAUGGGCGAAAGCCUGAUCCAGCCAUGCCGCGUGUGUGAAGAAGGUCUUCGGAUUGUAAAGCACUUUAAGUUGGGAGGAAGGG
This 449-nucleotide non-coding RNA is filed under the name Marivita cryptomonadis. RNAcentral describes it as "bacterial SSU rRNA". It matches the Rfam family "Bacterial small subunit ribosomal RNA", at positions 1 to 452 of the family's 1533-position model. Lineage: Bacteria; Pseudomonadati; Pseudomonadota; Alphaproteobacteria; Rhodobacterales; Roseobacteraceae. The record is from RNAcentral.